GACGAACCGUCCAAACGUUAUUGGAAUCACUGGGCUUAAAGGGUGCGUAGGCUGCGCUGUUAGUCGGGUGUGAAAUCCCUCAGCUUAACUGAGGAAUAGCGCCCGAUACUGCAGUGCUGGAGGGAGACAGGGGUAAGCGGAACUGAUGGUGGAGCGGUGAAAUGCGUUGAUAUCAUCAGGAACACCGGUGGCGAAAGCGGCUUACUGGGUCUCUUCUGACGCUGAGGCACGAAAGCUAGGGGAGCGAACGGG
This 252-nucleotide ribosomal RNA is filed under the name uncultured bacterium. Its description in RNAcentral is "partial 16S ribosomal RNA". It matches the Rfam family "Bacterial small subunit ribosomal RNA", at positions 524 to 776 of the family's 1533-position model. The record is from RNAcentral.